GGGGGCGUAGCUCAGCUUUGGUUAGAGCGCCGGCCUGUCAAGCCGGAGGUCACGAGUUCAAGUCUCGCCGUCCCCGCCA
RNAcentral lists this transfer RNA (79 nucleotides) under Deltaproteobacteria bacterium. RNAcentral describes it as "tRNA-Asp". It matches the Rfam family "tRNA". Rfam says of the family: Transfer RNA (tRNA) molecules are approximately 80 nucleotides in length. Their secondary structure includes four short double-helical elements and three loops (D, anti-codon, and T loops). Further hydrogen bonds mediate the characteristic L-shaped molecular structure. tRNAs have two regions of fundamental functional importance: the anti-codon, which is responsible for specific mRNA codon recognition, and the 3' end, to which the tRNAs corresponding amino acid is attached (by aminoacyl-tRNA synthetases). tRNAs cope with the degeneracy of the genetic code in two manners: having more than one tRNA (with a specific anti-codon) for a particular amino acid; and 'wobble' base-pairing, i.e. permitting non-standard base-pairing at the 3rd anti-codon position. The record is from RNAcentral. RNAcentral also lists the same sequence under 4 other names. Lineage: Bacteria; Pseudomonadati; Myxococcota; Myxococcia.